GAUGAACGCUGGCGGCGGGCCUAAUACAUGCAAGUCGAGCGAACAGACGAGGAUCUUGGUCCGCUGACGUUAGCGGCGGACGGGUUAGUAACACGUGGACAACCUACCUAUAAGACUGGGAUAACUUCGGGAAACCGGAGCUAAUACCGGAUAAUAUAUUGAACCGCAUGUAUCCAUAGUUAAAGACGGUUUUUCUGUCACUUAUAGCUUGAUCCGCGUCGCAUUAGCUAGUUGGUGAGGUAACGGCUUAUCCAGGCUGCGAUGGGUAGCCGACCUGAGAGGGUGGUCCGCCAGACGGGAAGUGAGACACAGUCGCGACACCGAGACGGGGCCACAGUAGGGACUCUUCCGCGAUGGGGGAGAGCCGGACGGAGGAACGCCGCGUGAAUGAUGAAGGUCUUCGGAUCGGAAAACGCUGUUAGUCGGGGAGAACAAAUGUGUAAGUAACUAUGCACGUCUUGACGGUACCUGAACAAGAAGCCACGGCUAACUACGUG
This 497-nucleotide ribosomal RNA is filed under the name uncultured bacterium. RNAcentral's name for it is "partial 16S ribosomal RNA". It matches the Rfam family "Bacterial small subunit ribosomal RNA", at positions 28 to 507 of the family's 1533-position model. The record is from RNAcentral.